UCUCCCGCACGCCUYUUCAUUYGUGGGAAUGAGCUACGCUCGUCCACGGUCGGCUUUCCUGUGUUGCAUACCUAUUUCGAGGGCAUUCGGUUGGCUAAAACGGUCCCAUCUCCGCCUUGUGCUAGCGCUCCUUGCGGGCGUCYGGCGCGGGGCGGAUCUCAAAGCGUCCGUCGUGUUUCGCGCCGCAUUCACCCGUAUAGGUGUUUGGGUAGGCGACCCACGAUGUGCCGUUCGUUGUCUCGGGUACGGAACAUCGGGUGGGUACGAGGCAUUCGCCUCCGAUCACCACACAAAUGCGUU
This 300-nucleotide unclassified non-coding RNA is filed under the name Cyanocephalus pedalipes. Its description in RNAcentral is "partial 25S-18S ribosomal RNA external transcribed spacer". Lineage: Eukaryota; Viridiplantae; Streptophyta; Magnoliopsida; Lamiales; Lamiaceae. The record is from RNAcentral.